AUUGAACGCUGGCGGCAUGCCUUACACAUGCAAGUCGAACGGUAACGGGUCCUUCGGGAUGCCGACGAGUGGCGAACGGGUGAGUAAUAUAUCGGAACGUGCCCAGUAGUGGGGGAUAACUGCUCGAAAGAGCAGCUAAUACCGCAUACGACCUGAGGGUGAAAGGGGGGGAUCGCAAGACCUCUCGCUAUUGGAGCGGCCGAUAUCAGAUUAGCUAGUUGGUGGGGUAAAGGCCUACCAAGGCAACGAUCUGUAGUUGGUCUGAGAGGACGACCAGCCACACUGGGACUGAGACACGGCCCAGACUCCUACGGGAGGCAGCAGUGGGGAAUUUUGGACAAUGGGCGCAAGCCUGAUCCAGCAAUGCCGCGUGCAGGAGGAAGGCCUUCGGGUUGUAAACUGCUUUUGUCAGGGAAGAAAUCUUCUGGGCUAAUACCCCGGGAGGAUGACGGUACCUGAAGAAUAUGCACCGGCUAACUACGUGCCAGCCGCCGCUGUAA
Molecule: ribosomal RNA, 500 nt
Filed under: uncultured bacterium
Lineage: Bacteria
Description: partial 16S ribosomal RNA
Rfam family: Bacterial small subunit ribosomal RNA
Source: RNAcentral